Molecule: long non-coding RNA, 1005 nt
Filed under: Sinocyclocheilus anshuiensis
Lineage: Eukaryota; Metazoa; Chordata; Actinopteri; Cypriniformes; Cyprinidae
Description: lncRNA (ENSSANG00000002259.1)
Source: RNAcentral
CGUAAACAUUUUUAUUGCAUUAUUUUUAAAGAAAUAAUCUCACUAAUAUAAUGCACUAAAUUACAAAACAAGAGAAAAGAAUCAAAUCAGGUUUCACUGCAUCAUGCAAAAAAUAAACAUAACCACAUUAAAAUAGAAUAAAAAAUGUUGAAUUUCCAAGACAAAUAACUAUAUGGUGAAAUAUUGUGGUCCUACCACCCACCUCUAAGCGUCUGAUUCCUCUCACCUGCCCUACAGGUAUCUGAAGUACUUUGCGACUAAGACGAGUCCGACCGGAGUGAUUCUGGACCUGUGGGAAGCUCAACACUUCCCACACGGAAACCUCAACCAGCUCGCCACUGUCCUGGAGGAGAUGGGUCGUCAUGACAACAGCAUCGCCGCCAUGGCCAAGGAACAGUGACCCUCACUUUGGCGGUAAUAACGCUGCUAACGAUGACGUCCAGCUCAAGUUGUGUUGCCACACGAUCAAAACAACGAUCAAAAACCAAGACACCGUGUGCAGCACUGCUGUCCAUGUACGUGGAUUCCGCCGAUUUGGGGUCAAAGGUGAAGCAGGAACAGGGUCGAGACACUUCAGUUUCACUGCCUGCAGCCGCUGCCACCCCACCAACACGAAAAAGCCUCCAACCAACUGCCAUUUCCCACAAUCCAAAUGAGAGGCUCUGUGCGGAAAAUAAAAGCCAAAUGAACAAGCAAAACAAGACAACAGAAAAGCCCUUCUGUAAGCUUGACGAGCAGCAGUGCAUUGAGUGUUUCUGUCUGGUGUUAAUGCUGUGCCAACUAUGCAAUGUUUGCUUCUAUACAGGACAAUGUGCAUCGUUAUGACUCGCGUGUACAGAGAGAAUUUAAUACACAGAAUAAAGCUUCAUUAAAAAUCAAAAACAAAAAACGCUAUGUCUGCGGCCAGUUUCUGUAUAAAAUGUAUGUAAAGGAUUUUUUAAAAUAAAUUCUAUUUUUAAUCAGCGCUGACAGUGGCCUUCUGUUGUUGUUGUUUUAUUAUUUGAC